CACGUAGGGCGCAAUCGUUGUCCGGAAUUAUUGGGCGUAAAGAGCUCGUAGGCGGUCUGUUACGUCUGCUGUGAAAACCCGGGGCUUAACCCUGGGCUUGCAGUGGAUACGGGCAGACUAGAGGCAGGUAGGGGAGAAUGGAAUUCCCGGUGUAGCGGUGAAAUGCGCAGAUAUCGGGAGGAACACCGGUGGCGAAGGCGGUUCUCUGGGCCUGACCUGACGCUGAGGAGCGAAAGCGUGGGGAGCGAACAGG
Molecule: ribosomal RNA, 253 nt
Filed under: uncultured bacterium
Lineage: Bacteria
Description: partial 16S ribosomal RNA
Rfam family: Bacterial small subunit ribosomal RNA
Source: RNAcentral